RNAcentral lists this ribosomal RNA (497 nucleotides) under uncultured bacterium. Its description in RNAcentral is "partial 16S ribosomal RNA". It matches the Rfam family "Bacterial small subunit ribosomal RNA", at positions 28 to 507 of the family's 1533-position model. The record is from RNAcentral.
GACGAACGCUGGCGGCGUGCCUAAUACAUGCAAGUUGAGCGCUGAAGGUUGGUACUUGUCCCGACUGGCUGAGCAGCGAACGGGUGAGUAACGCGUGGGGAAUCUGCCUUUGAGCGGGGGACAACAUUUGGAAACGAAUGCUAAUACCGCAUAAAAACUUUAAACACAAGUUUUAAGUUUGAAAGAUGCAAUUGCAUCACUCAAAGAUGAUCCCGCGUUGUAUUAGCUAGUUGGUGAGGUAAAGGCUCACCAAGGCGAUGAUACAUAGCCGACCUGAGAGGGUGAUCGGCCACAGUGGGACUGAGACACGGCCCAAACGCCUACGGGAGGCAGCAGUAGGGAAUCUUCGGCAAUAGACGAAAGUCUGACCGAGCAACGCCGCGUGAGUGAAGAAGGUUUUCGGAUCGUAAAACUCUGUUGGUAGAGAAGAACGUUGGUGAGAGUGGAAAGCUCAUCAAGUGACGGUAACUACCCAGAAAGGGACGGCUAACUACGUG